RNAcentral lists this ribosomal RNA (1581 nucleotides) under metagenome. RNAcentral's name for it is "bacterial LSU rRNA". It matches the Rfam family "Bacterial large subunit ribosomal RNA", at positions 1347 to 2925 of the family's 2925-position model. The record is from RNAcentral.
AAGGUUUCCUGAGGAAGGCUCGUCCGCUCAGGGUUAGUCGGGACCUAAGCCGAGGCCGAAAGGCGUAGGCGAUGGACAACAGGUUGAUAUUCCUGUACCACCUCCUCACCAUUUGAGCAAUGGGGGGACGCAGGAGGAUAGGGUAAGCGCGGUAUUGGAUAUCCGCGUCCAAGCAGUUAGGCUGGGAAAUAGGCAAAUCCGUUUCCCAUAAGGCUGAGCUGUGAUGGCGAGCGAAAUAUAGUAGCGAAGUUCCUGAUUCCACACUGCCAAGAAAAGCCUCUAGCGAGGUGAGAGGUGCCCGUACCGCAAACCGACACAGGUAGGCGAGGAGAGAAUCCUAAGGUGAUCGAGAGAACUCUCGUUAAGGAACUCGGCAAAAUGACCCCGUAACUUCGGGAGAAGGGGUGCUCUGUUAGGGUGCAAGCCCGAGAGAGCCGCAGUGAAUAGGCCCAGGCGACUGUUUAGCAAAAACACAGGUCUCUGCGAAGCCGUAAGGCGAAGUAUAGGGGCUGACGCCUGCCCGGUGCUGGAAGGUUAAGAGGAGCGCUUAGCGUAAGCGAAGGUGCGAAUUGAAGCCCCAGUAAACGGCGGCCGUAACAAUAACGGUCCUAAGGUAGCGAAAUUCCUUGUCGGGUAAGUUCCGACCCGCACGAAAGGCGCAACGAUCUGGGCACUGUCUCAACGAGAGACUCGGUGAAAUUAUAGUACCUGUGAAGAUGCAGGUUACCCGCGACAGGACGGAAAGACCCCGUGGAGCUUUACUGCAGCCUGAUAUUGAAUGUUGGUACAGCUUGUACAGGAUAGGUAGGAGCCUUGGAAACCGGAGCGCCAGCUUUGGUGGAGGCAUCGGUGGGAUACUACCCUGGCUGUAUUGACCUUCUAACCCGCCGCCCUUAUCGGGCGGGGAGACAGUGUCAGGUGGGCAGUUUGACUGGGGCGGUCGCCUCCUAAAAGGUAACGGAGGCGCCCAAAGGUUCCCUCAGAAUGGUUGGAAAUCAUUCGCAGAGUGUAAAGGCACAAGGGAGCUUGACUGCGAGACCUACAAGUCGAGCAGGGACGAAAGUCGGGCUUAGUGAUCCGGUGGUUCCGCAUGGAAGGGCCAUCGCUCAACGGAUAAAAGCUACCCCGGGGAUAACAGGCUUAUCUCCCCCAAGAGUCCACAUCGACGGGGAGGUUUGGCACCUCGAUGUCGGCUCAUCGCAUCCUGGGGCUGUAGUCGGUCCCAAGGGUUGGGCUGUUCGCCCAUUAAAGCGGUACGCGAGCUGGGUUCAGAACGUCGUGAGACAGUUCGGUCCCUAUCCGUCGCGGGCGCAGGAAAUUUGAGAGGAGCUGUCCUUAGUACGAGAGGACCGGGAUGGACGCACCGCUGGUGUACCAGUUGUUCUGCCAAGGGCAUCGCUGGGUAGCUAUGUGCGGACGGGAUAAGUGCUGAAAGCAUCUAAGCAUGAAGCCCCCCUCAAGAUGAGAUUUCCCAUUCCGCAAGGAAGUAAGAUCCCUGAAAGAUGAUCAGGUUGAUAGGUCUGAGGUGGAAGUGUGGCGACACAUGGAGCUGACAGAUACUAAUCGAUCGAGGACUUAACC